This 497-nucleotide ribosomal RNA is filed under the name uncultured bacterium. RNAcentral describes it as "partial 16S ribosomal RNA". It matches the Rfam family "Bacterial small subunit ribosomal RNA", at positions 28 to 507 of the family's 1533-position model. The record is from RNAcentral.
GAUGAACGCUGGCGGCGUGCCUAAUACAUGCAAGUCGAGCGAACGGACGAGAAGCUUGCUUCUCUGAUGUUAGCGGCGGACGGGUGAGUAACACGUGGAUAACCUACCUAUAAGACUGGGAUAACUUCGGGAAACCGGAGCUAAUACCGGAUAAUAUUUUGAACCGCAUGGUUCAAAAGUGAAAGACGGUCUUGCUGUCACUUAUAGAUGGAUCCGCGCUGCAUUAGCUAGUUGGUAAGGUAACGGCUUACCAAGGCAACGAUGCAUAGCCGACCUGAGAGGGUGAUCGGCCACACUGGAACUGAGACACGGUCCAGACUCCUACGGGAGGCAGCAGUAGGGAAUCUUCCGCAAUGGGCGAAAGCCUGACGGAGCAACGCCGCGUGAGUGAUGAAGGUCUUCGGAUCGUAAAACUCUGUUAUUAGGGAAGAACAUAUGUGUAAGUAACUGUGCACAUCAUGACGGUACCUAAUCAGAAAGCCACGGCUAACUACGUG